This 151-nucleotide transfer RNA is filed under the name Candidatus Aenigmatarchaeota archaeon. RNAcentral's name for it is "tRNA-Val". The record is from RNAcentral. Lineage: Archaea; Nanobdellati; Candidatus Aenigmatarchaeota.
GGGCUCGUAGUCCAGCCCGGCUAAGACGCUUCCUUCACAUGGAAGAGAUCCCCAGUUCAAAUGAAGCUUUUCUUUGCAAAAGAAAAGCCCCAAGCGCAAAAGAAAGCAGUUACCGCUUGCGCGAAUAUUCUUGAGAAUCUGGGCGGGCCCA